This 30384-nucleotide long non-coding RNA is filed under the name Selaginella moellendorffii. RNAcentral describes it as "long non-coding RNA (SMOE_LNC001702)". The record is from RNAcentral. Lineage: Eukaryota; Viridiplantae; Streptophyta; Lycopodiopsida; Selaginellales; Selaginellaceae.
CCCGACGUUUACACGUACAACAUUCUCGUAUCGGGGUUCUGCAAGGCCGGGAACACCGACGCUGCCUGUGGAGUCUUCGACGACAUGAGCUCUAGCCACUGCUCGCCAAACGUUGUCACCUACGGGACUCUCAUCUCCGGCCUCUGCAAGCGCCGCCAGCUGACCAAGGCCUCUUUAUACUUCCAGCACAUGAAGGAGAGAGGCUGCCCUCCGGACAGCUUCGUCUACAGCAGCUUGGUGGACGGGCUCUGCAAGUCGGGGAAGCUCGAAGGUGGCUGCAUGCUCUUUGACGAGAUGGAGAGGAGCGGUGUUGCAAACAGCCAGACGCGGACCAGGCUGAUCUUCCAUCUCUGCAAAGCGAACCGGGUCGACGAGGCCGUGUCGCUUUUCAACGCCAUCAGGAAGGAAGGAAUGCCGCACCCUUACGCCUACAACUCGAUAAUCAGCACGCUCAUCAAGUCGGCAAAGGUGAACCCGUGUACCAGGAGAUGACUCGCUGGUGGAGGCCCGAUCGCGUCACCUACAACGCACUGCUCAAUGGGAUGAUCACAGCAAACAGGAUCGACAGAGCUCAUUUUUAUUACCUGGAGAUGACCGGCAGAGGCUACGUUCCUCCCAUGUCCAUACUGACGACUGACUGAAGGAGCAAGCUUGAUACUCAGUGUUGUUGGCUGUGACGUCGAUCUCCAGAUGUGGUACCAAUGCCUGUGUACAGUACAUAUUGUAUUUGUGAAUUACAAGAACUUCGUGUUAGAAAAUGGUGGUUACUGGCUAGAGACCAGCUAUAUAAACUCCCUUACCUUCUAAAGAUAGUGUGUGUCUGUUGUGAAACCAUUCUCCCUUCUCAGAUAACAGUAUAGCCUCGUAAAUACGAGGACUCCUCUUGAGCAUGCCCAGCUCCGCUUCACUCAAGUUGGACAUUGCCUUGUGGAAAGUGGAUUCAUCCAUGAACCAUAUCCAAGCAGCCACCAGCCCAACUACAAUAUCGUCUAGCUCUGACUUGGCACCAAUAACCUCAGUGACAAUGCCAGACAGGUUGAUAGUGCUUCGCUUGUUCUUGAGUUUACUGAAGUCCACCCUACUCAAAAACUUGUUCAUGAUACCUGACCUCUGAUGUUUCUUACUCAAGACUGUUAUAAACGGACCAGUAACUGAUUCAUAUCCCGAACCUGUUUCGAGCUCGGAAUGGCUUACUUGUCUUUUAGAUAUUGACCACUGCCUAUGAAUGAAAAUCCUGUGAAAGAUAUCUGCAGGAUCAAAAGCAUAGCUCCGGUAAACACUCGGAUUCCUCCACCACUUUAACAAUGUCCAGGCCGCUUGGGCUUUGAUCUCGUCAUCGCUUCCGUCAAUAAUGGAUCUGAUUAGAUACUCGGAUGCUUGCUUGGAAACUGCUUCACGAGGAAGGAAGCCCACUGGUGCUUUUGUGACAAUGUGGUCCAGGAAUUUGAUUACGUCACCGUCCACAACCGCCAAAGGAAUUAUUCCAAAUUCUCGCACAGCUAAUACGAAGUUGUGUAACUGACCUGGUGUUAAUACAACCUUUGCUAGAAUCUUGUUUGCAGUAUGCCUUGGUCCUUCAUGAUAUGGUGAUCCGAGAACAAUGAGCUGAAUCAUGCAUUUGAUACUUCCAAAGGUUCUAGCUUCAUCAGGUAUGUUCCAGCAAAGGAGCUCCAGUAACUCCUCGUGAUCGGAGCUGCGUUCUUGGUGUUCUUCAUCCAAAAACCAAUUGAUGACGUAAGUGAAAAGAUUUACACCUAAUGCUUUACUGAAUCCCUCUCUCAUAAACGCCUCAUGUACACGUGGGGCAACAACAUGCAUUGUAAGUUCACCUUCCCCCGCAAUACAUAUCAGCCACAACACGAAGGAGUCCCAACCCAGUAGUUUGACCGCCAAGAAAACUGAUGACUCCACCAAAGUCAGAAUGUAGAACAGCCUGAUCCCAUACACAAAGUUGGCCACCUGCCCUGCAUCAGACGAUGAGAUGGGUUUGUAGUCUCCUGACUUGAGCCGAGCAACGGAGAAACCAAGUGUUACAGCUGCACUACCCACUUGGAGCCCAUGGAAUAUCAGAUGUAUGGACGCCUGUUUUAUAAAUAUUGGCGGCAGCCUCCUCCGAUAGCAAAUGUUAUAACCUAGGGAAGCGCAGUACAAUGACGAGGUGAAUAUCCCUCCUAAGAUACUUUUGUGGUACCCAGCGGCUACUAAGUAAUCAACAUUCUUGCUGCCUAGGAACACUCGCACACCCUCUGAAAGCAGCAGACCAGAAAUGAGCCUGAAAUCGUAAGACUUCAGCUGAGAGACAUAACCCCCCAGCAGGAUCACUGUGGCACCCACGAACGCUAUUUGCCCUAUGUAUGUUGCACCCUGCUCCAAGGCUGCCAAUACUAGAGCCACAUAUUUCACGUGCACUGACAGACUCACCAAUCUCUGUGCUCUCCUCGUAAGCUUUUGAUGUUCUUCCGUGAUCCCAUCUGAGCCCCCAACUGGUAUUGCUGUAUCAUUCUCCAUUGUAAUUUCGGCUGCUCUACAGCUAUGUCACGGCGAUGUACACCAACGCAAUUACAAGCAGGGAUUUGGGAAGCUGUCGCAGUAUCGUAACAAAUAUAGCACACGAAAGCACGAUUCCCUUGAGUAUGAGACAAUGCAAGCAAAGAACAAUGUAACAGGACAGUGCAUCUUGGAGUUUUGAGGGGUCAAAACAACAAAAUGUUUCGUGGCAGCUUAUUUUACAAGGUUGCUGCUCAGCAAUAGAUCCUUCACUAGUUUGAAAUCUAGGCAAAGGAGAUUCCAGGCUCAAAAGACUAGUUUGAAAUGCAGGCAAAGGAGAUCCAAGGCUCAAAAGACUAGUUUGAAAUGCAAGCAAAGGAUCCAAGGCUCAAAAGACUAGUUUGAAAUGCAAGCAAAGGAGAUUCAAAACUCAGAUCAUCAAGUGUGUAAUGAAAAGAUCAAUUACGUUUACUAAUACCAUAUAGAUACCAACAUAGUCUUCGCAAAGACUGUUUGCUGUGUAGUUUCCAAGCCUUUAAUGGCAUACCAUCUUCUCUGGUUCACUGCUAACGUUUCCAGAGGAGUUUGAAACCAUUGAGAAGCUCUUCGAGUUCUCAAAUAUUUGGAGCAGUAAAGGUACGACAAUUGUGACAAUCUCGCUUGAGAAUGAUUUCGUAAAUCACACCGCUGUAAAUGCCAUCACCUGGGCUGGUUCUCGACACUUCCACCUCGCGCAACUCCAGGUUGUGCUCAGACGCCUCGUUAAAGAAUGCUCGAUCAGUGCUAAAAAAAAGAAAGAAAAGAUUCAAGAAAACACAAAAGAAGAAGCAAAAUAACCUUUGUAUGCGAGAGAUGUAAGCAAGAAAAAACUUGCGGCAGUGGUGGUGUUGCAAAAGCUUGUUGACAGUCCUCAUUAGCGGAGGAAUGUUGCAUUGCUGGUAGCGUGAUAGGAUCUGUUCAAGGAGAAACUUGGAGUCAAAAAGCUUCCAUCAAAAGGAUAUAAAUGUCGGCCCCAAGGAUGUAGUCAAAUCCCUCCGGAUGCUUGUCAAGGAUGAGAGAGAGCUGUUCUUCAUUCCCCCACUCAAGCUUUUCACAGGCAAUCCCUGCAAUGAGGAGAAAAAAAAAACAAACAAACGAGAUCUCUCAUAUAUCAGUGAGAAAGAACUCACGCGAUAGCAACGCCGUGUCCUGCUGAAGCGCCACGUUUUUCCUCAUGAUCUAGCAGCGAUCCCCAAACUUGUUUUAAGAAACCAUGCAUGAAAAUUCCUGCCUUUAAAACGAUGUCAUUGUGAUCAGUCAUGACGACUUUGCGGCAGCCAAUCCUUCCACACAAAAGGCCAGUCACUCCUACAAACCAUGAAAAAAAAAACAAGUGUUAGAAAAAAAAAAAGAGAGAGAGAAAGAAGAGAAAACCAUGCGAAGAACUUCAUACCAACACCAGAGCCCAGCUCAAUGAUCGAAGCUCCUUGAAAAAUUUGGCUAUGAUCCACAAUGUAGUUGAGGAGAAGCUCGGUGCCAGGCCAGAUUAUCUGGCCAGUGAGGUCGUAAUCCGCUGCGAGCUAUCGCAUUGAAAGAGAGGAACCGAAAGAACACACUCACUGGAAGAGCAUUGUAGGCUGAGCACAGGAAUCUCGUGAUGGCCGAUGGAAAUGCGCUGCUCAACGUAGCUAGCAGUGGAUGAUAGAAUCGAUUAAAUCCUAGUAGCUUACUUCUCGUCCAGGAACAGCGAUCCAGUACCUCCUCCAUCGUCGUCCUCGUCCAUCGCAUGAGCCCUAAGAGAAUAAGAAUCUUACUCACAAAAGAUGCCCUAAAGCCCUAGGGGUUAGGGUGUAUGAAUGGCGGCAAGAUUUGGAUGCUCGCGCAUUGCCCGGCUAUCGCGCAUUGCACAGGUACCCAGCCGCGCCAGAUCGAUCGCCACGCAGCCGGUAGCUCAGGAAUCCACCGAGGAUGAGGCGGACGAUCUUGCCGCUUCCUCCAAUGCGGGCGUCUGGAGCUACAGGGAUUUCGCGCAGAUGCUCCACUCUUCCUCCUCCUCUUCCAGGCAUUCGAUCGAGGCGGCGCUGGGCAGGCUACGCCGGGAAAUCUCCACUGACGCCGUGGUGAAGAUCUUCCAGUGCCUCAAGGACGCCGAUCUCGCCUGGGAGCUCUUCCAGUGCCUCUCCUCCCCUCGAUUCGGCUUCCAGCACAGCGUCCACACGGGGAACGCGCUCCUGGAUGUGUUUGCCAGGACCAAGCGCCACAGGGAGGCCGGGAAUCUCCUCAAGAACGAGCUCGCGACGAUAUUUCGGCCGGAUGUGGAGACCUGGAACGUCCUCGUCACCGGCUACUGCCUGGCUCGCGACGAGGAGGCAUUCGCGGUGAUGAAGGAGAUGGAGGAGGAUUACGGCGUGGCGCCGUCGCUCAAGACCCACAAUCUCGUCCUCCACGGCCUGUGCAAGUCGGGCAAGGUCCUCGCAGCAAUGGAUCACUUCGAUCACAGUGAGGAGAUCCAUGCCGGUGAGCGCUGCGACGUUCUCGAUCCUCAUCAAUGGCCUCGUCAAGGCAGGUAUGAUGAUCCAAGCUCACUCCCUCGCCCAGGAGACCACAACCAAUGGCUGCACGAUCGACAUCCACACCUACACCGCCAUUGUGGAUUGGCUCGCCAAGAACAAGAAGAUCCAAGAGGCCGUGGCUCUGAUGCAGAAGAUCACUGCCAAUGGGUGUACUCCCACCAUUGCCACCUACAACGCUCUCCUCAAUGGUCUUUGCAAGAUGGACGGCUCGAAGAAGCCAUCGAUCUCCUUCGCAAGAACGUCGACAAUGGCUGCACGCCGGUCACUUACACCUCGCUCAUCGAUGGCCUCGGCAAGGAGAAGCGAUCCUUCGAAGCUUACAAGCUUUUCAAAGAGAUGGCUUCGCGGGGACUGGCUCUCGACACCGUCUGCUAUACUGCUCUCAUCCGGGGACUCCUCCAGACCGGGAAAAUCCCGCAAGCUUCCUCGGUCUACAAGACGAUGACGUCCCAAGGCUGCGUUCCCGACGUGGUAACUCUCAGCACCAUGAUCGACGGCCUCUCCAAGGCCGGGAGGAUUAAAGCGGCAGUCCGGAUCUUCAAGUCGAUGGAAGGUCGAGGCCUGGCUCCAAACGAGGUGGUGGACAGCGCUCUCAUCCACGGCCUGUGCAAGGCGAGGAAGAGUACGUCCUUUCCCUUCCCCCCUCUUUCUAUUUUGUUAUCGCUCUUAUAAAUUGAUUUCACCAGGGAAGUCAGGACCGUAAAGAAACCCAAGCUCCCUCUGUUGCUGAGCAGUUCACUAAGAAAUUGCUGGUGUCAUUUCCCAGGCUUCUUUGGGAGCUCAAGUGUAAUCAACUUGCGUCUUCAAGGUUUGUGUCAAGGCAUUCGCAUCGUAAUGUUUCUCUUUCUUUUUUGCAGAUUGUCCUAGAGAUGCUACUCCGCCUUGGAAAGUUUGCAGUAGCUGGCUCUACUUUAGCAACAGAUUUUGGAAUGCUUCAAUCGGCAAUGAUACCGUUUUUCUGCACUGUGUUGCCAGCCAAGGAAACGCCAGGUUCCGUUGCGUCUCCUAAAUCUAGCAAAGAAACUGACUUUCCACAUUCCAGACAAGUAUUUGUACGGUCCGUUUAUUAAGCUUCCUAGAGACUGCCAAGAGAUUGCUGUACUACUUCAGCGGCUUCCAACCUUUCUUUCUCAAAGCACUGUUAGCUUGCUGUCUGUGUAAGUGCGCAUUAUGGCUUACAUCUUCUAACCUGGAAAACCUCGACUCGCAGCUCCGAACAUGGAUCUGCAAACUUUGGUCCGCUUGUUGGAAGUGGUGCGAGUGUCCUUUGUUCAAGGUCGGGUUGAAGUUGCAAACUUUUCCAGUUUCCUUCUUACGCUGGUGGUGGAGUGCUCGCACACACACGGUAAAUAUCUCCUUUUUUCUUGUCGGGCAAUUUAUAACUGCUGAUACUCUCUUCAGAAACUGCUGAAGAGAGAAACAAACACUGGAUAAUACUGGGUGUGGUGUCCCGUAGCCUAUUCCAGAUUGGAGAUAUCGACGUAGUUAUGCAUUUGUUGGCCAAGCCAAUGUCCGAACAUCUGGUGCGUAAUUUUUCACACCUGUUGCUGUUUCUAACAGUCAAACACAGUCGGCUCGGCCUUCCCCAAUGUUGUUAGCUAGUUCACUAAAAGUUCUGGCUACUCUGAGCCACGAUGUGGAACAUGUGGAGGUCCCUGAGUUGCUAUUGAGCGUUCUCGUGGCGCAAACCGCGAGCUUUACGGUUUCAAGACUUCUGGUAUACACCUGCGUUUUAUCAUGUGUAUGAUAAUAUGAAUUGCAGGCUAAAGACCAAAUGGUGAUAGUUAUUGUUUGGAAUGCGGUGGACUUAGUUUUCAAGAACAGGAGGUUUGCACAAUCCUUGAUGAAGGAAUUAGCUCUGAAUCUAUCAGGUUCGUUUGUUAUGUUCUUCUCUCUUACGGCUGAGUGUCUAUUGUCUUCAGGUGGCAAAGAUCAAGUUUAUGCUGUGGGAGUUUUGACGAACGAAAUAUGCAAGCAAAAAGCGAUCCAGAAGCACCUCGAGUUUUCAGAUGUUCGUGAGAUAUUUCGAGCAGUAAAGGUACGGCUACUAUGAACAUGUUUCACAUACACGUUGUUUUGUGUCGCAGACAAUUUUGAAGGAGGCACGCAUGGACCAAGCUAAGUCCAAGCAGCUUUUCCACUUAGAGAUCAGCAUCCGAGAUGCGUUUGGAUCGCAAGUCCUAGUUUAAGCUGUGGCAAAGAGCUCGGGUGUUCCGUGGCUUUUGGGAACCCUGUGCUUGAGCUUCAUCUGCCGCAUCCUGGAAAGGUCAGUCGAUUUUCCGGGCUUGGCGAUGGUGGCAUCAGUUUUUUUCUUCACCACUGAUGGUGAAGCUCUUUUCGUUCAAGCCGCCGUCAUCCUCGGCAUCCCAGCGAGGAUCAAGAUUAAACGCCUCGGUGAAAGAAGCCGUCCGAAUUGCCUCUACUUCUUUACUCACCUGGAUCUUCUCCUCGUGCCUGUGUAACAUGCUGAUUGAAGCCGCUGCUCGCGACUGCUUCUCAAGGACAGCGUACGUAUCUUCCAUGCAUACGCUCGCCACGGUUGUGACAGUGAUGCUCUCAAAGCUGUGAUAGGCAGACAGCGGUGCUCGUGGAUCGAACUCGCCAUGGCGUUCCAUCGUAGCAUUCUACUCACUCAAACAGCUCCUCCUCCCGCGGCCAAGAAGAAAACUGAAAGUCUUUCUUGGCAUGUUGGGCGAGGGAGAAGCUGAUUAACGAUAUUGAAUGGAAAGAUAAACAACAACAAUGAUUUAGUCCGUGUCGUGUUAUUUGUUCUGAAACCAUUCUCCCUUGUCAGAUGACAGUAUAGCCUCGUAAAUACAAGUAUUCUUCUUGAGCAUGCCCAGGUCCUCUUUAGUCAAGUUGGAGAUCACCUUCUGGAAAGUGGAUUCAUCCAUGAACCAUAUCCAAGCUGCCACCAGCCCAACUACAAAGUCGAUGAGCUUUGACUCGGCACCAAUAACCUCAGGGACAAUCCCGGACAGGUCGAUAGUGCUCUGCUUGUUCUUGAGUUUGCUGAAGUCCACCCUACUCAAAAACUUGUUCAUGAUAUCUGACCUCGGAACGUUCAUACUGAAGACUGUUCUAAUAGGACCAGCAACUGAUUCAUAUCCAGCGACAGCUUCAAGCUCGCCUCCAUCUAAUGACACCUGUCGCCUCUCAAUGAAAAUCCUGUGAAAGAUAUCUGCAGGAUCAAAAGCAUAGCUCCGGUAAACUCUCGGAUUCCUCCACCACUUUAAGAAUGUCCAGGCCGCUUGGGCUUUGAUCUCGUCGUCGCUUCCGUCAAUAAUGGAUCUAAUUAGAUACUCGGAUGCUUGCUUGGAAACUGCUUCACGAGGAAGGAAGCCCACUGGUGCUUCUGUGACCAGGAAUUUGAUUACGUCACCGUCCACAAAAGGAAUUAUUCCAAAUUCUCGCACAGCUAAUAAGAAGUUACCUGCUAAUACAUCCUCUAAUACGCCUUAGUUUUUUUUUACGUGUUCCGAGAACAAUGCGCUGAAUCAUGCAUUUGAUACUUCCGAAGGUUCUAGCUUGAUCAGGUAUGUUCCAGCAAAGGAGCUCCAGUACCUUCUGGUGAUCGGAGCUGCAUUCUUCUUACACACCAUCCAAAAAAUUAUUGAUGACAUAAGUGAAAAGAUUUACACCUAAUGCUUCUGUCAUAAACGCCUCAUGUACACGUGGGCCAACAUGGAGUGCAAGUAUGAGCUUCCCCUGCAAUACUUCUCAGCCACAACACGAAGGAGUCCAGUUUGACCGCCAAGAAAACUGAUGACUCCACCAAAGUCAGAAUGUAGAACAGCCUGAUCCCAUACACAAAGUUGGCCACCUGCCCUGCAUCCGACGAUGAGAUGGGUUUGUAGUCUCCUGACUUGAGCCGAGCAAGGAGAAACCAAAUGUUACAGCUGCACUACCCACUUGGAGCCCAUGGAAUAUGAGAUGUAUGAACAGGUCCUUUAUAAGCUUUGGCGGCUGCCUCCUCCGAUAGCAAAUGUUAUAACCUAGGGAAGCGCAGUACAAUGACGAGGUCAAUAUCCCUCCUAAGAUACUUUUGUGAAACCCAGCGGCUACUAAGUAAUCAACAUUCUUGCUGACUAGGAACACUCGCACACCCUCUGAAAGCAGCAGACCAGAAAUGAGCCUGAAAUCGUAAGACUUGGUGAGGAGAUCCAUGCCAGUGAGCGUUGCGACGUUCUCCAUCCUCAUCAAUGGCCUCGUCAAGGCAGGUAUGAUGAUCAAAGCUCACUCCCUCGCCCAGGAGACCACGACCAAUGGCUGCACGAUCGACAUCCACACCUAUACCGCCAUUGUGGACUGACUCGCCAAGAACAAGAAGAUCCAAGAGGCCGUGGCUUUGAUGGAGAAGAUCACUGCCAAUGGGUGUACUCCCACCAUCGCCACCUACAACGCUCUCCUCAAUGGUCUUUGCAAGAUGGGACGGCUCAAAGAAGCCAUCGAUCUCCUUCGCAAGAUCGUCGACAAUGGCUGAACGCCGGACGUGGUCACUUACACCUCACUCAUGGAUGGCCUCGGCAAGGAGAAGCGAUCCUUCGAAGCUUACAAGCUUUUCAAAGAGAUGGCUUCGCGGGGACUGGCUCUCGACACCGUCUGCUACACUGCUCUCAUCGGGGGACUCCUCCAGGCCGGGAUAAUCCCGCAAGCUUCCUCGGUCUACAAGACGAUGACGUCCCAAGGCUGCGUUCCCGACGUGGUAACUCUCAGCACCAUGAUCGACGGCCUCUCCAAGGCCGGGAGGAUUGGAGCGGCAGUCCGGAUCUUCAAGUCGAUGGAAGCUCGAGGCCCUUCUUCAAACGAGGUGGUGUACAGCGCUCUCAUCCACGGCCUGUGCAAGGCCAGGAAGAGUGCGUUCUUUCCCUUCCCCCCUCUUUCUAUUUUGUUAUCGCUCUUAUAAAUUGAUUUCACCAGGGAAGUCAGGACCGUAAAGAAACCCAAGCUCCCUCUGUUGCUGAGCAGUUCAGUAAGAAAUGGCUGGUCUCAUUUUCCAGGCUUCUUUGGGAGCUCAAGUGUAAUCAACUUGCAUCUUCAAAGGUUUGUGUCAAGAGGCCAUUCGCAUCGUAAUGUUUCUCUUUCUUUUUUGCAGAUUGUCCUAGAGAUGCUACUCCGCCUUGGAAAGUUUGCAGUAGCAACAGAUUUUGGAAUGCCUCAAUCGGCAAUGAUACCGUUUUUCUGCUCUGUGUUACCAGCCAAGGAAACGCCAGGUUCCGUUGCGUCUCCUAAAUCUAGCAUAGAAACUAACUUUUCACAUUCCAGACAAGUGUUUGUACGGUCCGUUUAUUAAGCUUCCUAGGAACUGCCAAGAGAUUGCAGUCGACGUAUUGUAGCGGCUUCCAACCUUUCUUUCUCAAAGCACUGUUAGCUGGCUGUCUGUGUAAGUGCGCAUUAUGGCUUACAUCUUCUAACCUGGAAAACCUCAACUCGCAGCUCCGGACAUGGAUCUGCAAACUUUGGUCCGCUUGUUAGAAGUGGUUCGAGUAUCCUUUGUUCAAGGGCGGGUUGAAGUUGCAAACUUUUUCAGUUUCCUUCUUACGCUGGUGGUGGAGUGCUCGCAUGCACAGGGUAAAUAUCUCCUUUUUUCUUUUCGGGCAAUUUAUACUCUUUUCAGAAACUGCUGACGAGAGAAACAAACACUGGAUAAUACUGGGUGUGGUGUCCCAUAGCCUAUUCCAGCUUGGAGAUAUCGACGUAGUUAUGCAUUUUUUGGCCAAGCCAAUGUCCGAACAUCUGGUGCGUAAUUUUUCACACCUGUUGCUGUUUCUAACAGUCAAACACAGUCGGCUCGGCCUUCCCCAAUGUUUUUAGCUAGUUCACUAAAAGUUCUGGCUACUCUGAGCAACGAUGUGGAACAUGUGGAGGUCCCUGAGUUGCUAUUGAGCGUUCUCGUGGCGCAAACCGCGAGCUUUACGGUUUCAAGACUUCUGGUAUACACCUGCGUUUUAUCAUGUGUAUGAUAAUAUGAAUUGCAGGCUAAAGACCAAAUGGUGAUAGUCAUUGUUUGCAAUGCGGUGGACUUAGUUUUCAAGAACAAGAGGUUUGCACAAUCCUUGAUGAAGGAAUUAGCUCUGAAUCUAUCAGGCUCGUUUGUUAUGUUCUUCUCUCUUACGGCUGAGUGUCUAUUUUCUUCAGGUGGCAAAGAUCAAGUUUAUGCUGUGGGAGUUUUGACGAACGAAAUAUGCAAGCAAAAAGCGAUCCAGAAGCCCCUCGAGUUUUCAGAUGUUCGUGAGAUAUUUCGAGCAGUAAAGGUACGGCUACUAUGAACUUCAUGUUUCACAUACACGUUGUUUUGUGUCGCAGACAAUUUUGAAGGAGGCACGCAUGGACCAAGCUAAGUCCAAGCAGCUUUUCCACUUAGAGAUCAGCAUCCGAGAUGCGUUUGGAUCGCAAGUCCUAGUUUAAGCUGUGGCAAAGAGCUCGGGUGUUCCGUGGCUUUUGGGAACCCUGUGCUUGAGCUUUAAUAUUAUCUGCUGCAUCCUGGAAAGGUCAGUCGAUUUUCCGGGCUUGGCGAUGGCGGCCUCAGUUGUUUUCUUCUCCGCAGCCGGCUUGGUGGAGAUUAGUUCUGAGACGGCACCCCAGUAAUUUAGUGGUGCCCUCGCAUGGAACUCUUCUCGGGACUCCAACGAUACCUGCAUGAGGAAGAGAGGUCAGUUUAAAACAUAAAAUCUAUCUUCUUGACGACCUUUUCCUUCUCACGAUUUCCUUUUUUACUAGCUUCGACUUCUGCGUUCCGUUUUGCAAAGAGCUCUCGUUUGUGCUCCUCGGCAGUGCAAAGAGUUUUUGCAAGCCUGUCCCUCUUGUCAUUCUCCUUCGCUUCUAAAGCUAGCGCGUUUUUCCUGGCAAGAAACCGUAAGUAAUUUUCUAAAAAGCUUCGUAGCGACUUACCUCGUCCAUUCCUGGAAUUUAAGAUGCGAUGGAUCGAAGGUCGCUGUGGCGGUGCUGGUGCUGAAGAUGUCCUGAGGAUCAUCAACGUCCUUUUUGUUUGUCUCGAGAAGAUCGUGAAGCUCCUGAACGCUACUGAUGGUGAAACUCUUUUCGUUCAAGCCGCCGUCAUCCUCGGCACCCCAGCGAGGAUCAAGAUCAAAUGCCUCGGUGAAAGAAGCCGUCCGAAUUGCCUCUACUUCUUCACUCACCUGGAUCUUCUCCUCGUGCCUGUGCAACACGCUGAUUGAAGGCGCUGCUCGCGACUGCUUCUCAAGGACAGCGUACGUAUCUUCCAUGCAUACGCUCGCCACGGUUGUGACAGUGAUGCUCUCAAAGCUGUGACAGGCAGACGGCGGUGCUCGUGGAUCGAACUCGCCAUGACGUUCCAUCGUAGCGUUUUCUACUCACUCAAACAGCCUCCUCCUGCGGCCAAGAAGAAAACUGAAUGUCUUUCUUGGCAUGUUGGGCGAGAUUAACGAUAUUAAAUGGAAAGAUAAACAACAACAAUGAUUCAGUUCGAGUUUUAAAACCAUUUUCCCUUGUUAGAUGACAGUAUAGCCUCGUAAAUACGAGUAUUCUUCUCGAGCAUGCCCAGGGCCUCUUCAGUCAAGUUGGAGAUCACCCUCUGGAAAGUGGAUUCAUCCAUGAACCAUAUCCAAGCUGCCACCAGCCCAACUACAGUGUCGUCUAGCUCUGACUCGGCACCAAUAACCUCAGGGACAAUCCCGGACAGGUCGAUAGUGCUCCGCUUGUCCUUGAGUUUGCUGAAGUCCACCCUACUCAAAAAGUUGUUCAUGACAUCUGACCUCUCAGGUUCCACCAAGUUAAUGAAGACUGUUCUAAUAGGACCAGCAACGGAUUCAUAUCCAGCGACAGAUUCAAGCUCGCCUCGAUGUAAUGACACCUGUCCCCUCUCAAUGAAAAUCCUGUGAAAGAUAUCUGCAGGAUCAAAAGCAUAGCUCCGGUAAACUCUCGGAUUCCUCCACCACUUUAAGAAUGUCCAGGCCGCUUCGGCUUUGAUCUCGUCGUCGCUUCCGUCAAUAAUGGAUCUGAUUAGAUACUCGGAUGCUUGCUUGGAAACUGCUUCACGAGGAAGGAAGCCCACUGGUGCUUCUGUGACAAUGCGGUCCAGGAAUUUGAUCACGUCAUCGUCCACAACCGCCAAAGGAAUUAUUCCAAAUUCUCGCACAGCUAAUAAGAAGUUGUGUAACUCACCUUCUGUUAGUACAACCUUUGCUAGAAUCUUGUUUGCAGUAUGCCUUGGUUUUUCAUGAUAUGAUGAUCCAAGAACAAUGAGCUGAAUCAUGCAUUUGAUACUUCCAAAGGUUCUAGCUUCAUGAGGUAUGUACCAGCAAAGGAGCUCCAGUAACUCCUCGUGAUGGGAGAUGCGUUCUUGGUGUUCUUCAUCCCAUUUUUGGUGUUCUUCAUCCAAAAACCAAUUGAUGACGUAAGUGAAAAGAUUUACACCUAAUGCUUUACCGAAUCCCUCUCUCACAAACGCCUCAUGUACACGUGGGCCUACAUUGACUGCAAGCCCUUCAGCUUCCCCUCGAAUACAGGACAGCCACAACAAGAGGAAGUCCCAACCCAGUAGUUUGACCGCCAAGAAAACUGAUGACUCCACCAAAGUCAGAAUGUAGAAGAGCCUGAUCCCAUACACAAAGUUGGCCACCUGCCCUGCAUCCGACGAUGAGAUGGGUUUGUAGUCUCCUGACGUGAACCGAGCAAGGGAGAAACCAAAUGUUACAGCUGCACUACCCACUUGGAGCCCAUGGAAUAUGAGAUGUAUGAACAGGUCCUUUAUAUACUUUGUCAGCUCCGUCCUCAGACAGCAAAUGUCAGAACCUACGAAAGUGCAGCACGCUGCCCAGGUGAAUAUCCCUCCAAAGGUACUAUUGUGGAACCCAGCGGCUACUGAAUAAUCAACAUUCUUGCUGACUAGGAACACUCGCACACCCUCUGAAAGCAGCAGACCAGAAAUGAGCUUGAAAUCGUAGGGCUUGAGCUGAGAGACAUAACCCCCCAGCAAGACCACAGUGGCGCCCACGAACGCUAUUUGCCCUAUGUAUGUUGCACCCUUCUCCAGGGCUGACAAUACUAGAGCCACAUAUUUCACUUGCACUGACAGACUCACCAAUCUCUGUGCUCUCCUCAUAAGAUUUUGAUGUUCUUCCGUGUUCCCAUCUGAGCCCCCAACUUGUAUUGCUGUAUCAUUCUCCAUUGUAAUUUCGGCUGCUCUACAGCUAUGUCACGGUGAUGUACACCAACGCAAUUAGAAGCAGGGAUUUGGGAAGCUGUCGCAGUAUUGUAACAAAUAUAGCACAUGAAAGCACGAUUCCGUUGAGUAUGAGAUAAUGCAAGCAAAGCACAAUGUAACAGGACAGUGCAUCUUGGAGUUUUUGUCGAGAUGUCAGUCUCGAUCAGCCGACGUGGCAUGUCCACGUGGGCAUGAGUCAUGUCCCUCAUGAGUGUUAUGUCCAUCCCUAUUAACAUCACAACAUGGUAUCGGAUUUCGACGAUCCUGGUUGGUUGAUUUGACGUUGCUGUCAUGACCGCUUCAACCCCACCACCACCUCCGCCGCCCCCACCACCACCGCCGCUGCCGCCGCCACCGGUCGUCUCUCACGAUCUUCUAAAUCGAUAUUUUACAUAGUAACCCUGCCCUAUUAUAUUGGCGGCGAUCUGUGGAGAAAUUCAGUGGCACGAAUUUCUUCACAUGGGCGACUGAUCCUCUCUGCGAAACGAGCGUGGAACAUCGUUGAUGGGACUUCGCACGAUCUUCGUGGCCCAAGCCGCAAAUUCUUCCAUGUUGCUGAAUCAACAAUUCUUGGCGCUUCACAUGGAAACGGGUGAAACCAUUGCUGUGUACGUGGGACGGAUUCGAGGGCUAAUGGCUGAAUUGACUGGUGCUGGGUCUCCUGUCACGGACGAUCGCGCCAGGGCGUUGCUGCUUGCAACCGUCACGCCUGCGUUUAGCACGCUCGCAUCUGUACAUGGCCAUGAACUUUGAUCAAGUCGUGGGUGCCCUAAUUGAAUAGGAACGCAAGAUGAAGGUCAGCCAAAUCUUCCUUGCUUUAUGCUGGCGCUGCGGGAGGAUCAUCCUCGUCCUCUCAAGCUCAGCCGAACGACACUGGUUUUCGUGGCAUUUGUCACUAUUGCCACAAAUCUGGACACUUGGCGAGGGAUUGCAAGAAGAAGAAAGCUGAUCGUGCUAAAGCUGCCAAGAACAAAGACAAAGGAAACAAAGACAAGGGCUCUGGGACACCUCGUAAGCACUUGAUGCCUCGCUCUGCAAGCAGCAGCCACCAGCCCGUGCUCGGACCAGAGCUGUGGCUGGAUUCUGGAGCGUCAUUCCAUAUGACGCCCAUGGCUUCCUUGUUUUUUUGACUACCGAGAACCAUGUGAGAGUGACGCUGUGGGACUCGGUGACUCCUCUGCUCACGACGUACUAGGCAAAGGAACAAUCAGGGUUCAGCUCUCUUCUGGAGAAAUCCGGGAGAUCUAUCCUGUGUCUUAUGUUCCAGGACUUACACACACGCUGCUGUCGAUUGGAACUGCUGCUCAAGUAGUCUUCGAUACUCUGUUCACAGCACAGGGAGCGUUCGUGCUGGAUGCCGAGACUGGAGACAAGGUCGCUUUUGGAGUUCCAGUUGAUACGCUCUACCGCCUGGAUGCUCACGUGAUCCUUCCACCCAUGGUUGGUCCCGACCGUUCCGAACGCCGACCGGCCGACCGGCCGACCGUGGUUAUCGACCGGCUGUGAAAAUGCCGAACGGCCGAACGGUUCACAAAAUUUUUUUGAUAAAAAAAAAAACAUUUUAAGUAAAACCAUAUUAAUAAAAGUAGAAAAACCAAAGCAUUAAACCAAACCAAACCAAACCAAACCAUGGUAUAGCAUUCAAGAAAAUGAACUUUGAUAUCGCAUCAUCUAAGUUCAUGUUUCUUGCAUCAUCAAGCAUUUCCCCAAUAUUGCCAUCUCGCAUUCACUUUCGACCAAUAGAUGAUCCUUCAUAGCCUAUAGAAGCACUCAUAGGCUGAGAUUGACUAGCACUUUGUGUACCAGCUCCAGAAGCAGAUGCCCCAUCAAAAUGUCUAUUCUGUAGAUUUGCUGUAGAAGGUAAAGACGAAAGGGCAUUUGCAAUUUGCUCCACAAACAUUCGGCGAGCUUGGUUCUGAACAUGAAGAGGAACAUUUGAAGCACUACAUACUUCAAUAUCACGCCCAGAAACUUUAGCAAGAUGCGCCUUGAUUCGUUUCGGCGGACCGCCAUACAUUUUACCACAAUAAUUACAUUUCCAACGCCCAGCUCUUUUGCCGGAAGCAUAAGGAGUGAGCUUGGUAACAUGGGACCAUGCCCAAUCGGGCGCCAUCACUCAAUUGUGCCAGAAUUGCUACGAAUCUCUAGAAUCAAAUCUCUGAAAUCACUGGAAUUUCCAUUUUAGGGCAAAAAUUUCAAGCGUUGCGGACUGCGCGAUUUGAUUUGCGAGGCAGCGAGCUGCUCUGCUCCACACUCAAUCGAAAGCAGAGGCAGUGGUGAUGGCAAUCAAAAGCAGAGGCAGUGGUGAUGGCAAUCAAAAGCAGAGGCAGUGGUGGUGAUGGCGAUAGCCGCUGGAGCAUCAGAAAUCUAGCGCGAUCACAAUUUUUUUUUUUCACAUUUUUUUUUUUGCCGAACAGAAUACCGAACGGAGCUGUCCGACCGCGUUCGGCCGACCGCGUUCGGCGGCGGUCGGAAUGAUGGCCAAACGCAUUCGGGACCAACCAUGCUUCCACCUGUGGCGCUGAUGGCUCGGGCUCCACCGACACUUGCAACCUGGCACCAGCGCCGUGGUCACGUGAACGAGCAACAGCUAAAAAAGGUGGAUGUUCCUGUGGCGCCUGGGAGCGCGCUGCCCUUUUGCGAAGCUUGUGUUGGUGGAAAACACCACGUUUUUCCUUUUCCACAGGUUUCUCAUUCUCGAGCAAGUUCUGUUCUUGAGUUGGUACACUCGGACGUUUGUUCGAUUGUGGUUGAAUCUUUGGGAGGCAAACGUUACGUAGUCACCUUCCUGGAUGAUUACACGCGGUACCUGAUCGUGUACCUGCUGGCUCACAAGUGAGAGGUGUUCUCCUGCUUUUGCCAAUACAAGGCUUUGGUAGAAAAUCUACACAGCUGUUUAGUUCAUGUGCUCCGCUGUGAUCGUGGAGGAGAAUUCAUCUCUGGAGAAUUCGAGACGUUUUGUGCUGAAGCUGGGGUCCAGCGCCAGUUUGCUGUCCCUGAUGCUGCCCAGAAUGGUGCUGCCGAGAGGGUGAAUCGCACCAUCAUAGAAGCUGCGCUUCAUGUGGGAAUGCCGGCUGCUUUCUGGGGUGAGGCAGUUAACACGGCUGUUUAUGUUCGAAACCGGUUGCCAACACGUGCCCUGCCUGGGAAGACCACUCCUUAUGAACUUUGACUGGUCACGCAGCUGGUUACGAUCAUCUCCGCAUUUUUUGCUGUUUUGCCUACGCACACGUUCCACACAAGCAACGCUGAAAGCUGGAGUCAAAGGCUGAGCCAUCCAUUUUCCUGGGAUAUUUGGAAGGCAUGAAAGGAUAUCGCCUUUAUUCUCUCAAGCGCAAAACUUUGCUGGAAAGAUGGGAUGUGCUCUUUGAUGAGAGCAAGCUGUACAAGGAUCUCUGCUGGUGGUAACGUGGUGGUUCCUCCAGCACUGCCACCACGCCCUCCAGCUACGCCUCUGCAAGAAUCUCCUCCAGUGAGAACACCUAGCUUCUCUGAAGAGCUGAUGAACACUUACUUCGAGGGCGACGAGGAAUUUCAAGCUGCUCCUGAGUUCUUCCUCGGUUCAUCUUCAGUGGGAGCUGGACGUGGAUCAUCACCUUCAGUGGGAGCUGGAAGCAGGUCGCCAACUUCAGUGGGAGCUCUCCCAGACUCUCCACUUGUUCCACCACCUGUGGUCCACCCUCCAGCACGUCCUGAACCUCGACGCUCUGCUCGAGUUCCCGUACCAUUGCGGCUGCAACUGGAAGCUGAGCAAUCUCGUCCCUUCUUUAGUUUUGGAAAAAUUAAAAAGAAAGGAACGCACCAGGCUAACUUCGUGGCUGCUAAUCCAGGGCGAAUCCCCAUUCCAGCGAAUGUUGACGAGGCAUUAGCUGUACCUCAUGCUGCCCAGUGGCGAGAAGCCAUGAAUGCUGAAAUGCAUUCGCAUGAGCGAAACAAUACAAUGACAAAGACAACCUUACCUGAAGGUGCUCACCUUGAGAGCUCGAAAUGGAUUUACACAGUCAGAUGGAACUGUAGCAAAGUUCAAGGCCAGGUUUGUCGCACGGGGAUUCAGCCAGAUUCCAGGUUUGGAAUACAUGGAGACGUACUCACCAGUUGUGAAGUUGACCUCUGUGCGAGUGAUCCUUGCACUGGCUGCCAAGUACGACCUGGAACUGCACCAGUUGGACGUUCGCACUGCUUUCCUGCACGGCAAGUUGAACGAGGAGGUCUACGUCACGCAACCACCUGGAUUCGUCAAACCUGGUGAGGAACAUCUUGUUUGCAAGCUGAAUCGCGCCCUGUAUGGGCUUAAACAAUCCCCGAGGGUUUGGUUUGAACGCAUUGAUGCGUUCUUCAAGAGCCUGGGGUGUGUUCCUCUUGCAGUGGAAGGAAACGUGUACCUGUACAAGAGUGGUGACGAUUUUCUCCUGGUUGCUGUGUACGUUGACGACUGCAUUCUCGGUGCAAAAACCCGCCACCUGCUGGACGAGAUGAAAAAGAAGCUGAGUGAAGAAUUUGAGAUGUCUGACCUGGGCGAGCUUCGCCAUUUCCUUGGCAUCCAAAUUAUACGCAAUCGAGGAGCACGCACCUUGAGCUUGACACAAGCUCACUAUGCAAGGGAGAUCUUGGAACGCUUCCAUAUGCUGGAAUGCUCUUCCCUGGCCACACCUCUUGAGGUCAAUCACAAACUCAGCCGUGACAUGGCCCCUGUCACAGAGGAAGAACGAGAGUACAUGGCCACGGUGCCAUAUCGUCAAGCAGUGGGAAGUCUUGUUUAUUUGAUGCUGGGAACGCGACCAGAUCUCGCCUAUGCUCUUGGGAUGGUCUCCCAGUUCCUCGAGAACCCCGGACCUGCGCAUUGGCAAGCUUUCCGCUACGUUCGAGGUACCUUGCAUUUGCAGCUUCACUAUGGCGCUGCUGUGUCACAGGAACUUCAUGGGUACUCUGGAUGCGGACUGGGCGGGCGACCAGGACUCAAGGCGCUCUACCUCCGGGUAUGCGUUCUUGCUCCAUGGGGCUGCUGUGUCCUGGAGCAGUAAGCGCCAGCCGCUGGUGGCUCUGUCCUCGACAGAGGCAGAGUACAUUGCCCUAACCGCUGCCACCCAGUUCUGCCGUGACCUGCCCCAGAUUCCUGCUUGCACCGGCCCUAUGGUGCUGUUCUCGGACAACCAACGUGCUCUUGCACUGGCCGCCAAUCCUCGCUUCCAUUCUCGGACGAAACACAUCGAGAUUCGUUUCCACUACGUGCGGGAACAAGUCCAAAAUGGAAAGUUGUUGCUGGAAUAUUGCCCCACCGAGGCAAUGGUGGCUGAUAUACGUAGUCCAUCCUCUCAGCUGAUCGAGCCAGAGUGGGAGUGUCGAGAUGUCAGUCUCGAUCAGCUGACGUGGCACGUCCACGUGGCCCUUGAGUCGGGAGUGUUGUGUCCAUCCCUUUUAACAUCACAACAGUUUUGAGGGGUAAAAACAACAAAAUGUUUCAUGGCAGCUUAUUUUACAAGGUUGUUGCUCAGCAAUAGAUCCUUCACUAGUUUGAAAUUUAGGCAAAGGAGAUUCAAGGCUCAAAAGACUAGUUUUAAAUGCAGGCAAAGGAGAUUCAAAACUCAGAUCAUCAACUAAUACCAUAUAGAUACCAACAUAGUCUCCGCAAAGACUGUUUGCUGUGUAGUUUCCAAGCCUUUAUGGCAUACCAUCUUCUCUGGUUCACUGCUAACGUUUCCAGAGGAGUUUGAAACCAUUGAGAAGCUCUUCGAGUUCUCAAAUAUUUGGAGCACUAAAGGUACGACAAUUGUGACAAUCUCGCUUGAGAAUGAUUUCGUAAAUCACACCGCUGUAAAUGCCAUCACCUGGGCUGGUUCUCGACACUUCCACCUCGCGCAACUCCAGGUUGUGCUCAGACGCCUCGUUAAAGAAUGCUCGAUCAGUGCUGAAAAAAGAAACAAAAGAUUCAAGAAAACACAAAAAAAGAAGCAAAACAACCUUUGUAUGCGAGAGACGUAAGCAAGAAAAAACUUGCGGCAGUGGUGGUGUUGCAAAAGCUUGUUGACAGUCCUGAUUAGCGGAGGAAUGUUGCAUUGCUGGUAGCGUGAUAGGAUUUGUUCAAGGAGAAACUUGGAGUAAAAAAGCUUCCAUCAAAAGGAUAUAAAUGUCGGCUCCAAGGAUGUAGUCAAAUCCCUCCGGAUGCUUGUCAAGGAUGAGAGAGAGCUGUUCUUCAUUCCCCCACUCAAGCUUUUCACAGGCAAUCCCUGCAAUGAGGGAAAAAAAAAAAAAACAAACAAACAAACAAACGAGAUCUCUCAUAUAUCAGUGAGAAAGAACUCGAGAGAAACUCACGCGAUAGCAACGCCGUGUCCUGCUGAAGCGCCACGUUUUUCCUCAUGAUCUAGCAGCGAUCCCCAAACUUGUUUUAAGAAACCAUGCAUGGAAAUUCCUGCCUUUAAAACGGUGUCAUUGUGAUCAGUCAUGACGACUUUGCGGCAGCCAAUCCUUCCACACAAAAGGCCAGUCACUCCUACAAACCAUGAAAAAAAUCAAGUGUUAGAAAAAAGAAAAAGAGAAAGAAGAGAAAACCAUGCCAAGAACAUCAUACCAACACCAGAGCCCAGCUCAAUGAUCGAAGCUCCUUGAAAAAUUUGGCUAUGAUCCACAAUGUAAUUGAGGAGAAGCUCGGUGCCAGGCCAGAUUAUCUGGCCAGUGAGGUCGUAAUCCGCUGCGAGCUAUCGCAUUGAAAGAGAGGAACCGAGAGAGAAAGAACACACUCACUGGAAGAGCAUUGUAGGCUGAGCACAGGAAUGUCGUGAUGGCCGAUGGAAAUGCGCUGCUCAACGUAGCUAGCAGUGGAUGAUAGAAUCGAUUAAAUCCUAGUAGCUUACUUCUCGUCCAGGAACAGCGAUCCAAUACCUCCUCCAUCGUCGUCCUCGUCCAUCGCAUGAGCCCUAAGAGAAUAAGAAUCUUACUCACAAAGAUGCGCUAAAGCCCUAGGGGUUAGGGUUUAUGAAUGGCGGCAAGAUUUGGAUGCUCGCGCGGCUAUCGCGCAUUGCACAGGUACCCAGCCGCGCCAGAUCGAUCGCCAUGCAGCCGGUAGCUCAGGAAUCCACCGAGGAUGAGGCGGACGAUCUUGCCGCUUGCUCCAAUGCGGGCGUCUGGAGCUACAGGGAUUUCGCGCAGAUGCUCCACUCUUCCUCCUCUUCCAGUCAUUCGAUCGAGGCGGCGCUGGGCAGGCUACGCCGGGAAAUCUCCACUGACGCCGUGGUGACGAUCUUCCAGUGCCUCAAGGACGCCGAUCUCGCCUGGGAGCUCUUCCAGUGCCUCUCCUCCCCUCGAUUCGGCUUCCAGCACAGCGUCCACACGGGGAACGCGCUCCUGGAUGUGUUUGCCAGGACCAAGCGCCACAGGGAGGCCGGGAAUCUCCUCAAGAACGAGCUCGCGACGAUAUUUCGGCCGGAUGUGGAGACCUGGAACGUCCUCAUCACCGGCUACUGCCUGGCUCGCGAGCCCGAGGAGGCAUUCGCGGUUAUUAGGGAGAUGGAGGAGGAUUACGGCGUGGCGCCGUCGCUCAAGACCCACAAUCUCGUCCUCCACGGCCUGUGCAAGUCGGGCAAGGUCCUCGCGGCGAUGGAUCACUUCGAGACGGUGAGGAGAUCCAUGCCGGUGAGCGCUGCGACGUUCUCGAUCCUCAUCAAUGGCCUCGUCAAGGCAGGUAUGAUGAUCCAAGCUCACUCCCUCGCCGAGGAGACCACAACCAACGGCUGCACGAUCGACAUCCACACCUACACCGCCAUUGUGGACUGGCUGGCCAAGAACAAGAAGAUCGAAGAGGCCGUGGCUCUGAUGGAGAAGAUCACUGCCAAUGGGUGUACUCCCACCAUCGCCACCUACAACGCUCUCCUCAAUGGUCUUUGCAAGAUGGGACGCCUCGAAGAAGCCAUUGAUCUCCUUCGCAAGAUCGUGGUCACUUACACCUCGCUCAUUGAUGGCCUCGGCAAGGAGAAGCGAUCCUUCGAAGCUUACAAGCUUUUCAAGGAGAUGGCUUCGCGGGGACUGGCUCUCGAUAGCGUCUGCUACACUGCUUUCAUCCGGGGACUCCUCCAGGCCGGGAAAAUCCCGCAAGCUUCCUCGGUCUACAAGACGAUGAUGUCCCAAGGCUGCGUUCCCGACGUGGUAACUCUCAGCACCAUGAUCGACGGCCUCUCCAAGGCCGGGAGGAUUGGAGCGGCAGUCCGGUUCUUCAAAUCGAUGGAAGCUCGAGGCCUGGCUCCAAACGAGGUGGUGUACAGCGCUCUCAUCCACGGCCUGUGCAAGGCCAGGAAGAGUACGUUCUUUCCCUUCCCCGCUCUUUCUAUUUUAUAAAUUGAUUUCGCCAGGAAAGUCAGGACCGUAGAGAAACCCAAGCUCCCUCUGUUUCUGAGCAGUUCAGUAAGAAAUGGCUGGUCUCAUUUCCCAGGCUUCUUUGGGAGCUCAAGUGUAAUCAACUUGCGUCUUCAAAGGUUUGUGUCAAGAGGCCAUUGCCAUUUAAUCGCAUUCGCAUCGUAAUGUUUCUCUUUCUUUUUCGCAGAUUGUCCUAGAGAUGCUACUCCGCCUUGGAAAGUUUGCAGUAGCUUUAGCAACAGAUUUUGGAAUGCUUCAAUCGGCAAUGAUACCGUUUUUCUGCACUGUGUUGCCAGCCAAGGAAACGCCAGGUUCCGUUGCGUCUCCUAAAUCUAGCAAAGAAACUGACUUUCCACAUUCCAGACAAGUAUUUGUACGGUCCGUUUAUUAAGCUUCCUAGAGACUGCCAAGAGAUUGCUGUACUACUUCAGCGGCUUCCAACCUUUCUUUCUCAAAGCACUGUUAGCUUGCUGUCUGUGUAAGUGCGCAUUAUGGCUUACAUCUUCUAACCUGGAAAACCUCGACUCGCAGCUCCGAACAUGGAUCUGCAAACUUUGGUCCGCUUGUUGGAAGUGGUGCGAGUGUCCUUUGUUCAAGGUCGGGUUGAAGUUGCAAACUUUUCCAGUUUCCUUUUUACGCUGGUGGUGGAGUGCUCGCAUGCACACGGUAAAUAUCUCCUUUUUUCUUGUCGGGCAAUUUAUAACUGCUGAUACUCUUUUCAGAAACUGCUGAAGAGAGAAAGAAACACUGGAUAAUACUGGGUGUGGUGUCCCGUAGCCUAUUCCAGAUUGGAGAUAUCGACGUAGUUAUGCAUUUGUUGGCCAAGCCAAUGUCCGAACAUCUGGUGCGUAAGUUUUCACACCUUUUGCUGUUUCUAACAGUCAAUUACAGUCGGCUCGGCCUUCCCCAAUGUUGUUAGCUAGUUUACUAAAAAUUGUGGCUACUCUGAGCCACGAUGUGGAACAUGUGGAGGUCCCUGAGUUGCUAUUGAGCGUUCUGGUGGCGCAAACCGCGAGCUUUGCGGUCUCAAGACUUCUGGUAUACACCCGCGUUUUAUCAUGUGUAUGAUAAUCUGAAUUGCAGGCUAAAGACCAAAUGGUGAUGGUUAUUGUUCGCAAUGCGGUGGACUUAGUUUUCAAGAACAAGAGGUUUGCACAAUCCUUGAUGAAGGAAUUAGCUCUGAAUCUAUCAGGUUCGUUUGUUAUGUUCUUCUCUCUUACGUCUGAGUGUCUAUUGUCUUCAGGUGGCAAAGAUCAAGUUUAUGCUGUGGGAAUUUUGACGAACGAAAUAUGCAAGCAAAACGCGAUCCAGAAGCACCUCGAGUUUUCAGAUGUUGGUGAGAUAUUUCGAGCAGUAAAGGUACGACUAGUAUGAGAACUUCAUGUUUCACAUACACGUUGUUUUGUGUCACAGACAAUUUUGAAGGAGGCACGCAUGGACCAAGCUAAGUCCAAGCAGCUUUUCUACUUAGAGAUCAGCAUCCGACAUGCGUUUGGAUCGCAAGUCCUAGUUUAAGCUGUGGCAAAGAGCUCGGGCAUUCCGUGGCUUUUGGGAAUCCUGUGCUUGAGCUUUAAUAUUAUCUGCCGCAUCCUGGAAAGGUCAGUCGAUUUUCCGGGCUCGGCGAUGGCGGCAUCAGUUUUUUUCUUCUCCGCAGCCGGCUUGGUGGAGAUUAGUUCUGAGACGGCACCCCAGUAAUUUAGUGGUGCCCUCGCAUGGAACUCUUCUCGGGACUCCAACGAUACCUGCAUGAGGAAGAGAGGUCAGUUUAAAACAUAAAAUCUAUCUUCUUGACGACCUUUUCCUUCUCACGAUUUGCUUUUUUACUAGCUUCGACUUCGCGUUCCGUUUUGCAAAGAGCUCUCGUUUGUGCUCCUCGGCAGCGCAAAGAGUUUUUGCAAGCCUGUCCCUCUCGUCAUUCUCCUUCGCUUCUAAAGCUAGCGCGUUUUUCCUGGCAAGAAACCGUAAGUGAUUUUCUAAAAAGCUUCGUAGCGACUUACCUCUUCCAUUCCAGGAAUUUAAGAUGUGAUGGAUCGAAGGUAGCUGUGGCGGUGCUGGUGCUGAAGAUGUCCUGAGGAUCAUCAACGUCGUUUUUGUUUCUCUCGAGAAGAUCGUGAAGCUCCUGAACGCCACUGGUGGUGAAGCUCUUUUCGUUCAAGCCGCCGUCAUCCUCGGCAUCCCAGCGAGGAUCAAGAUCAAACGCCUCGGUGAAAGAAGCCGUCCGAAUUGCCUCUACUUCUUCACUCACCUGGAUCUUCUCCUCGUGCCUGUGCAACAUGCUGAUUGAAGGCGCUGCUCGCGACUGCUUCUCAAGGACAUCGUACGUAUCUUCCAUGCAUACGCUCGCCACGGUUGUGACAGUGAUGCUCUCAAAGCUGUGACAGACAGACGGCGGUGCUCGUGGAUCGAACUCGCCAUGGCGUUCCAUCGUAGCGUUUUCUACUCACUCAAACAGCUCCUCUUCCCGCGACCAAGAAGAAAACUGAAUGUCUUUCUUGGCAUGUUGGGCGAAGGAGAAGCUGAUUAACGAUAUUAAAUGGAAAGAUAAACAACAACAAUGAUUCAGUUCGAGUUCUAAAACCAUUUUCCCUUGUUAGAUGACAUUACAAGAAUUACAAGAAUUACAAGAACUUCGUGCAAGAAAAUGGUGGUUACUGGUUAGAGACCAGCUAUACAAACUCCCUUAGCUUCUAAACAUAGUGUGUGUCUGUUGUGAAACCAUUCUCCCUUCUCAGAUAACAGUAUAGCCUCGUAAAUAUGAGGAUUCCUCUUGAGCAUGCCUAGGUCCGCUUCACUCAAGUUGGACAUUGCCUUCUGGAAAGUGGAUUCAUCCAUGAACCAUAUCCAAGCUGCCACCAGCCCAACUACAAAGCUGUCUAGCUCAGUGGCAAUGCCAGACAGGUCGAUAGUGCUCCGCUUGUCCUUGAGUUUGCUGAAGUCCACCCUACUCAAAAACUUGUUCAUGAUAUCUGAAGUCCAAGUACUCAAGACUGUUCUAAUAGGACCAGCAACUGAUUCAUAUCCAGCGACAGCUUCAAGCUCGCCUCGAUCUAAUGACACCUGUUGCCUCUCAAUGAAAAUCCUGUGAAAGAUAUCUGCAGGAUCAAAAGCAUAGCUCCGGUAAACUCUCGGAUUCCUCCACCACUUUAAGAAUGUCCAGGCGGCUUCGGCUUUGAUCUCGUCAUCGCUUCCGUCAAUGAUGGAUCUGAUUAGAUACUCGGAUGCUUGCUUGGAAACUGCUUCACGAGGAAGGAAGCCCACUGGUGCUCCUCUGACAAUGCGGUCCAGCAAAUUGAUUACGUCAUCGUCCACAACCGCCAAAGGAAUUAUUCCAAAUUCUCGCACAGCUAAUACUAAGUUAUGUAACUGACCUGGUGUUAAUACAACCUUUGCUAGAAUCUUGUUUGCAGUAUGCCUUGGUCCUUCAUGAUAUGAUGGUCCGAGAACAAUGAGCUGAGUCAUGCAUUUAAUACUCCCAAAGGUUCUAGCUUCAUGAGGUAUGUUCCAGCAAAGGAGCUCCAGUACCUCCUCGUGAUCGCAGCUGCAUUCUUCUUCUUCACCAUCCAAAAAAUAAUUGAUGACAUAAGUGAAAAGAUUGACACGUAAUCCUUUUCUGAAUCCCUCUGUCAUAAACGCCUCAUGUACAUGUGGGCCAACAUGGUGUGCAAGUACAUGCGCUUCAGCCUUACCCGCAAUACUUCUCAGCCACAACCCGAAGGAGUCCCAACCCAGUAGUUUGACCGCCAAGAAAAUUGAUGACUCCACCAAAGUCAGAAUGUAGAACAGCCUCAUCCCAUACACGAAGUUGGCCACCUGCCCUGUACCCGACGACGGGAGGGGUUUGUAGGCUCCCGACUUGAGCCGAGAAAGGGAGAAACCAAAUGAUACAGCUGCACUACCCACUUGGAGCCCAUGGAAUAUCAGAUGUAUGGACAGGUUCUUUAUCAUCUUUGACCCCUGCAUCCUCCCACACCAAAUGCCAUAACCUACGAAAGCGCAGUAGUAUGGCGUGGUAAGUAUCCCUCCCCAGGUACUUCCCCGGAGCCGAGAGGCUAUUAAGUAAUCAAAAUUCUUGCUGACUAGGAACACUCGCACACCCUCUGAAAGCAACAGACCAGAAAUGAGCCUGAAAUCGUACGACUUGAGCUGAGGGACAUAACCCCCCAGCAGGACCACUGUGGCACCACGAACGCUAUUUGCGCUAAAUAUGUUGCACCUUGCUCCAAGGCUGCCAAUAGUAGAGCCACAUAUUUCACUUGCACUGACAGACUCACCAAUCUCUGUGCUCUCCUCUUAAGAUUUUGAUGUUUUUCUGUGUUCCGAUCUGAGCCCCCAACUUGUAUUGCUGUAUCAUUCUCCAUUGUAAUUUCGGCUGCUCUACAGCUAUGUACCAACGCAAUUACAAGCAGGGAUUUGGGAAGCUGUCGCAGUAUCGUAAGAAAUAUAGCACAUGAAAGCACGAUUCCGUUGAGUAUGAGGCAAUGCAAGCAAAGCACAAUGUAACAGCACAGUGGAGUUUUGAGGGGUAAAAACAACAAAAUGUUUCGUGGCAGCUUAUUUUACAAGGUUGCUGCUCAGCAAUAGAUCCUUCACUAGUUUGAAAUCUAGGCAAAGGAGAUUCAAGGCUCAAAAGACUAGUUUGAAAUGCAGGCAAAGGAGAUUCAAAACUCAGAUCAUCAACUAUGUGUAAUGAAAAGAUCAAUUAUGUUUACUAAUACCAUAUAGAUACCAACAUAGUCUUCGCAAAGACUGUUUGCUGUGUAGUUUCCAAGCCUUUAUGGCAUACCAUCUUCUCUGGUUGACUGCUAACGUUUCCAGAGGAGUUUGAAACCAUUGAGAAGCUCUUCGAGUUCUCAAAUAUUUGGAGCACUAAAGGUACGACAAUUGUGACAAUCUCGCUUGAGAAUGAUUUCGUAAAUCACACCGCUGUAAAUGCCAUCACCUGGGCUGGUUCUCGACUCUUCCACCUCGCGCAACUCCAGGUUGUGCUCAGAUGCCUCGUUAAAGAAUGCUCGAUCAGUGCUGAAAAAAAGAAACAAAAGAUUCAAGAAAACACAAAAAGAGAAGCGAAGUGACCUUUGUAUGCGAGAGAUGUAAGCAAGAAAAAACUUGCGGCAGUGGUGAUGUUGCAAAAGCUUGUUGACAGUCCUGAGUAGCGGAGGAAUGUUGCAUUGCUGGUAACGUGAUAGGAUCUGUUCAAGGAGAAACUUGGAGUAAAAAAGCUUCCAUCAAAAGGAUAUAAAUGUCGGCCCCAAGGAUGUAGUCAAAUCCCUCAGGAUGCUUGUCAAGGAUGAGAAAGAGCUGUUCUUCAUUUCCCCACUCAAGCUUUUCACAGGCAAUCCCUGCAAUAAGGAAAAAAACAAACAAACAAACAAACAAACGAGAUCUCUCAUAUAUCAGUGAGAAAGAACUCACGCGAUAGCAACGCCGUGUCCUGCUGAAGCGCCACGUUUUUCCGCAUGAUCUAGCAGCGAUCCCCAAACUUGUUUUAAGAAACCAUGCAUGGAAAUUCCUGCCUUUAAAACGAUGUCAUUGUGAUCAGUCAUGACGACUUUGCGGCAGCCAAUCCUUCCACACAAAAGGCCAGUCACUCCUACAAACCAUGAAAAAAAACAAGUGUUAGAAAAAAAAAAGGAGAGAGAAAGAAGAGAAAACCAUGCGAAGAACUUCAUACCAACACCAGAGCCCAGCUCAAUGAUCGAAGCUCCUUGAAAAAUUUGGCUAUGAUCCACAAUGUAAUUGAGGAGAAGCUCGGUGCCAGGCCAGAUUAUCUGGCCAGUGAGGUCGUAAUCCGCUGCGAGCUAUCGCAUUGAAAGAGAGGAACCGAGAGAGAAAGAACACACUCACUGGAAGAGCAUUGUAGGCUGAGCACAGGAAUGUCGUGAUGGCCGAUGGAAAUGCGCUGCUCAACGUAGCUAGCAGUGGAUGAUAGAAUCGAUUAAAUCCUAGUAGCUUACUUCUCGUCCAGGAACAGCGAUCCAAUACCUCCUCCAUCGUCGUCCUCGUCCAUCGCAUGAGCCCUAAGAGAAUAAGAAUCUUACUCACAAAGAUGCGCUAAAGCCCUAGGGGUUAGGGUUUAUGAAUGGCGGCAAGAUUUGGAUGCUCGCGCGGCUAUCGCGCAUUGCACAGGUACCCAGCCGCGCCAGAUCGAUCGCCAUGCAGCCGGUAGCUCAGGAAUCCACCGAGGAUGAGGCGGACGAUCUUGCCGCUUGCUCCAAUGCGGGCGUCUGGAGCUACAGGGAUUUCGCGCAGAUGCUCCACUCUUCCUCCUCCUCUUCCAGUCAUUCGAUCGAGGCGGCGCUGGGCAGGCUACGCCGGGAAAUCUCCACUGACGCCGUGGUGAAGAUCUUCCAGUGCCUCAAGGACGCCGAUCUCGCCUGGGAGCUCUUCCAGUGCCUCUCCUCCCCUCGAUUCGGCUUCCAGCACAGCGUCCACACGGGGAACGCGCUCCUGGAUGUGUUUGCCAGGACCAAGCGCCACAGGGAGGCCGGGAAUCUCCUCAAGAACGAGCUCGCGACGAUAUUUCGGCCGGAUGUGGAGACCUGGAACGUCCUCAUCACCGGCUACUGCCUGGCUCGCGAGCCCGAGGAGGCAUUCGCGGUGAUGAGGGAGAUGGAGGAGGAUUUCGGCGUGGCGCCGUCGCUCAAGACCCACAAUCUCGUCCUCCACGGCCUGUGCAAGUCGGGGAAGGUCCUCGCGGCGAUGGAUCACUUCGAGACGGUGAGGAGAUUCAUGCCGGUGAGCGCUGCGACGUUCUCGAUCCUCAUCAAUGGCCUCGUCAAAGCAGGUAUGCUGAUCCAGGCUCACUCCCUCGCCCAGGAGACCACAACCAAUGGCUGCACGAUCGACAUCCACACCUAUACCACCAUUGUAGACUGGCUCGCCAAGAACAAGAAGAUCCAAGAGGCCGUGGCUCUGAUGGAGAAGAUCACUGCCAAUGGGUGUACUCCCACCAUCGCCACCUACAACGCUCUCCUCAAUGGUCUUUGCAAGAUGGGACGCCUCGAAGAAGCCAUUGAUCUCCUUCGCAAGAUCGUCGACAAUGGCUGCACGCCGGACGUGGUCACUUACACCUCGCUCAUUGAUGGCCUCGGCAAGAAGAAGCGAUCCUUCGAAGCUUACAAGCUUUUCAAGGAGAUGGCUUCGCGGGGACUGGCUCUCGACACCGUCUGCUACACUGCUCUCAUCCGGGGACUCCUCCAGGCCGGGAAAAUCCCGCAAGCUUCCUCGGUCUACAAGACAAUGACGUCCCAAGGCUGCGUUCCAGACGUGGUAACACUCAGCACCAUGAUCGACGGCCUCUGCAAGGCCGGGAGGAUUGGAGCGGCAGUCCGGAUCUUCAAGUCGAUGGAAGCUCGAGGCCUGGCUCCAAACGAGGUGGUGUACAGCGCUCUCAUCCACGGCCUGUGCAAGGCCAGGAAGAUGGACUGUGCGCUGGAGAUGCUGGCCCAGAUGAAGAAGGCGUUUUGCACCCCGGACACCAUCACUUACAACAUCCUCAUCGACGGGCUUUGCAAGAGUGGCGACGUUGCGGCAGCACGGGCCUUCUUCGACGAGAUGCUCGAGGCCGGAUGCAAGCCCGACGUUUACACGUACAACAUUCUCAUAUCGGGGUUCUGCAAGGCCGGGAACACCGACGCUGCCUGUGGAGUCUUCGACGACAUGAGCUCUAGCCGCUGCUCGCCAAACGUUGUCACCUACGGGACUCUCAUCUCCGGCCUCUGCAAGCGCCGCCAGCUGACCAAGGCCUCGCUAUACUACCAGCACAUGAAGGAGAGAGGCUGCCCUCCGGACAGCUUCGUCUACAGCAGCUUG